This is a long non-coding RNA of Cygnus olor (mute swan), 2795 nucleotides long. RefSeq lists it as uncharacterized. The record is from RefSeq and is a predicted model, not a curated record. NCBI's taxonomy places the organism in Eukaryota, Metazoa, Chordata, Aves, Anseriformes, Anatidae. The transcript is spliced from 3 exons.
GUGCUUUUUUUUCUUUUACACUGAAGAACACAUCUUAUUCUCAUUGUUCUAGACUGAAAUGAGUAAUGUGUAAUUCUGGUGGGGUCCAAAGUAGAAAUUAGUUGGGCAAAGAUGAUAUGAAUGAAAAAGUAUUUUAAACGUUUAAGUAAUGUUCUGCUUUGUGAAUAUGUAAGUAUAGCAUAAAGAUUUUUCCAUCCCAUUUAUCCCCUUUAAAACCAUAGUUUACAAUUGGUAGAUCUGUCUAUAUAUAUAAAUAUAUAUAUAUAUAUGAAAUUCACCUAAAUCUGCUUUAUUAGAAUACCGCUCACUUAAUGCUUAGAAACUGGACCUGGCUCUACACUCUUAAUGUAUCUUCCUUUUGUUUUUUGUUUAUUUUGUUUGUUUUCAUUUGUUUUUUUUAUUUUUUUCCCUUGAGGUAUGAACUUUUUCUCUUGGAACUGAAUCUUCUUUUACUACUUAAAUCAUUUAUGUAUAUCUGGUAAAUUAUGACCAAAUUUGUUGUUAGACUGCAUACAGUAAAUUGAAAUAUACACUUGGUACACUACAGAAUUGUUGUGCUUUUAUUCUGGUUACCUUUGCAAAAGCAGGAUUUAUUAGAAAUCAGUGUAAUUUAUAAGUAUUUUGUUCACUGGCCUUAAUAUACUGUUGCAUUGUGACAAUCAUUGUUUCCUUGGUAAUAUUUAACUGCUUGCCUUCAGAAGCUGCAUGUAAUUGCUCUUGGUAGGGUUGGAGGGAGAGGGAUGACUACUGAAAUGUGAUGCUAGCUCUUUAGGAAAUGGUGUGAAAUAGUUUAAUGGAGAUCCACUCUUCUCAUGCUGGAGAAAAAAAUUCGGUUGCUAUCUGCUGUCUUUAUUUUCUGAUUGGUUUGUUCAGAUGCUAUUUUAAAUAUAUUACUUUGAUUGGGGAGCUCUAAAUUAAUAGAUGAAUUUCCUAAUAAUUACCUUAAAGGGGAUAGCUCAAAUUUCUUUACUGGUGUAAAAAGUAGGAAGAAAUUUGUUUGCACUCGAAAUCAUCUUCCUCUUAAGAAAUGCUGGAGCUAUGCUGUAGUAAAUAUGCCAAUUUUAAAAUUAGAAGAAAAAGGGUACUGCCCUGAUAGUGUCUCCUGUAUCAAAUUAAACCAUCUAGAAAUGUAUCUAGUUUUGCUUUUUGUCUUCUGAUGAAAUACUUUUCAAACCAAACACGAGAGUUGCUUGUUUGGGGCAAUGCCAUGCAAGAGCAGGUUUCUGAAAAGAAUCCCGCAUGUUAAAGACAGACAAAUGCAGAAUUCUGGUGUUAGGAUUCCCCCCUUUCUGUGGCUGUUCUGUUGUAAAGAAAUGCUGUGGAGAAGGUGGGUCUUCUCGGUUGUGUUCUGGUGAUUGUCUUCUAGAAAGAAAUGCGCAGAGCACUUUCUGGCAGGAAGCUGUGAUGCAAGACCGAAUGAAAUCACUAAGUAAAUUCACCUUGAUUAGAAGUCCCUGUCAAAGUAAGUGUAAUUGAAGGAAGACAAACAACUUAAAAAUGUGCCUUACGCCUAUGUGGAAUUAGUUACUACAAGCGUUUUCCAGUUGUAAUGUCAGACGCAGCUUGCAGGCAAAAUGGUUUUUUUUCAAUUGCAUGUAACGUUUGUGUAUUUAAACUAACAAGCAGAUCUUCUAGUAAAAAAAAAAAAAAUCUGAAGUGAAAACAGUUUUGAAAGCUGAAGAUGAUGCUUGGUUGCCAGUACCAUGAUGCACCCUAAGAAAUAGGGGUUAGAAUUAUUGGUCCUAAUAAGUGCGUUGUUACUUUGCAGAUGCAUAUACUUCUGCCAAUGCACAGUUUUGAGUUCCUUAUUGUCUGUCCCCAUUCCUUCUGAAAAGAAUGAGCAUUAUCAGGUGAAGAAAACUUUGGGACCAGAACAGUGGAAUCUGAAUGGCUUUUAGUUGUGUGGUUCACCACAGUAAUUCUGGUUAGCAGAAGAUGCUUUCUUUGCCUAGCUUUAAGUUGAUAAGUCUUUUAAUUUAAUUCUUUAAUAUGGACAGUCUCUCUGGUUUGCUUUCUUGAAGUUUUUUUUCCUCACUUUUCCUGUUUUUGCAGCUUGGUAACACAAGUUUCCCAUCUAUUCUAUAAUAUUUGUGUAGUGUGCUGACUCCAUGCAGAUGCAGAGUUCUCUUCACAAGACUGUACAUUAUUGGGUGGUCCUUUUUACAUUUUUAUAUUUAAAUGGCUGUGGAAACUAAUGUGAGAAAUGAAAAGAAGAAAAUUGACACCUACCUCCUCGUCCCCUUUGAAAAACUUGCCAUGCCAAAAGAAAGUGAAAAAGGAGAGAGAUGUUGAACGCAAUGUGAUAAGAAAAAGACUCUUGGAUUUGAGUUGAGUAGUAUCAUUCAGUUAUUUUAAGGAGUAUUUAAGAUGCACAAUUUGGUGACAGCCUUCUGAUGAAGAAAGAAACCCAAUUUUGAUUUUAUUUGUCUUCUCCAGAUUGUGGUUUAGGCUCUGCAGCAAUAGUACCAUUGAGCAGUUUUUCUGGAGGAACUAUUUUGUUAUGGAAUGCUGAUUUGAUGAGUGACCUGCAUGUGCUCUUUUGAGUGUUGUCAUAACUCUUCUCUGUAUUUUUCUGCCCCGGAUUCUUCCUGGAAUGCUGUUUUUCCCUUUCUGGAAGACAUGGAAAGGGAUAUGGUACACAGUGUAUGCGUGCAUGGGGAAAAAAUUGUUAGCUUGUAGGAAAGGCAUGUAUUCAGACUAGAAACAGACUUUCCUACUGGAAUUGUUUUUGUACAUUCCUCUGAAGCGUUUUAGUUUUGGACCCUAAAUAGUAGUAUAAAGAAACCACUAGUCAG